GAUGGACUGCCUUUUGCAUAAUGAGCCUGCGAGUUGUGGUGUCUGGCAAGGUUAAGCAAACGCGAAGCCGUAGCGAAAGCGAGUCUGAAUAGGGCGCUUAGUCAGAUGCUGCAGACCCGAAACGAAGUGAUCUAUCCAUGAGCAAGUUGAAGCUAGUGUAAGAACUAGUGGAGGACUGAACCCAUAGGCGUUGAAAAGCCCCGGGAUGACUUGUGGAUAGGGGUGAAAGGCCAAUCAAACUUCGUGAUAGCUGGUUCUCUCCGAAAUAUAUUUAGGUAUAGCGUUGUGUCGUAAUAUAAGGGGGUAGAGCACUGAAUGGGCUAGGGCAUACACCAAUGUACCAAACCCUAUCAAACUCCGAAUACCUUAUAUGUAAUCACAGCAGUCAGGCGGCGAGUGAUAAAAUCCGUCGUCAAGAGGGAAACAACCCAGACUACCAGCUAAGGUCCCUAAAUCUUACUUAAGUGGAAAACGAUGUGAAGUUACUUAAACAACCAGGAGGUUGGCUUAGAAGCAGCCAUCCUUUAAAGAAAGCGUAAUAGCUCACUGGUCUAGUGAUUUUGCGCGGAAAAUAUAACGGGGCUAAAGUAAGUACCGAAGCUGUAGACUUGCGCACAACUUAGAUUAUUUAAGUUUAGAAUAUGAGAAACUAAGUUAUAUUUUUACUGAUUUUUAUAGAGUAAAGAUAGAAAUAAAACUUAGUAAAAUCAGUAAAAAUAUUCUUAGGCUAAAGUUAAGUAGUUUAAGUUGUGUGCAAGUGGUAGGAGAGCGUUCUAUUUGCGUCGAAGGUAUACCGGUAAGGAGUGCUGGAGCGAAUAGAAGUGAGCAUGCAGGCAUGAGUAGCGAUAAUUAAUGUGAGAAUCAUUAACGCCGUAAACCCAAGGUUUCCUACGCGAUGCUCGUCAUCGUAGGGUUAGUCGGGUCCUAAGUCGAGUCCGAAAGGGGUAGACGAUGGCAAAUUGG
RNAcentral lists this ribosomal RNA (963 nucleotides) under Campylobacter jejuni. RNAcentral's name for it is "bacterial LSU rRNA". It matches the Rfam family "Bacterial large subunit ribosomal RNA", at positions 595 to 1429 of the family's 2925-position model. Lineage: Bacteria; Pseudomonadati; Campylobacterota; Epsilonproteobacteria; Campylobacterales; Campylobacteraceae. The record is from RNAcentral.